GGGCGUAUAGCUCAGUGGUAGAGCUCUGGUUUUACACACCAGCGGUCGGCGGUUCGAACCCGUCUGCGCCCA
This 72-nucleotide transfer RNA is filed under the name Nocardia cyriacigeorgica. RNAcentral's name for it is "tRNA-Val". It matches the Rfam family "tRNA". From Rfam's summary of the family: Transfer RNA (tRNA) molecules are approximately 80 nucleotides in length. Their secondary structure includes four short double-helical elements and three loops (D, anti-codon, and T loops). The record is from RNAcentral. Lineage: Bacteria; Bacillati; Actinomycetota; Actinomycetes; Mycobacteriales; Nocardiaceae.